RNAcentral lists this transfer RNA (69 nucleotides) under Rattus norvegicus (Norway rat). It matches the Rfam family "tRNA". From Rfam's summary of the family: Transfer RNA (tRNA) molecules are approximately 80 nucleotides in length. Their secondary structure includes four short double-helical elements and three loops (D, anti-codon, and T loops). Lineage: Eukaryota; Metazoa; Chordata; Mammalia; Rodentia; Muridae. The record is from Rfam by way of RNAcentral.
GGGGAUUUAGCUCAGCAGUAGAGCGCUUGCCUAGGAAGCGCAAGGCCCUGGGUUCGAUCCCCAGCUCCA